Molecule: ribosomal RNA, 649 nt
Filed under: uncultured bacterium
Lineage: Bacteria
Description: bacterial SSU rRNA
Rfam family: Bacterial small subunit ribosomal RNA
Source: RNAcentral
GGGACAACAGCCAGAAAUGGCUGCUAAUACCGCAUAAGCCUGCUGUGCCGCAUGACACAGCAGGGAAAACCACGGUGGUACAGGAUGGGCCCGCGUCUGAUUAGUUAGUUGGCAGGGUAACGGCCUACCAAGACAACGAUCAGUAGCCGGCUUGAGAGAGUGGACGGCCACAUUGGGACUGAGACACGGCCCAGACUCCUGCGGGAGGCAGCAGUGGGGAAUAUUGCACAAUGGGGGGAACCCUGAUGCAGCAAUGCCGCGUGGGUGAAGAAGCACUCCGGUGCGUAAAGCCCUGUCAGCAGGGAAGAAAAUGACAGUACCUGGACAAGAAGCCCCGGCUAACUACGUGCCAGCAGCCGCGGUAAUACGUAGGGGGCAAGCGUUAUCCGGAUUUACUGGGUGUAAAGGGAGCGCAGGCGGCGUGGCAAGUCAGACGUGAAAACCCGGGGCCCAACCCCGGGAGUGCAUUUGAAACUGCCAUGCUGGAGUGCCGGAGAGGUAAGCGGAAUUCCUAGUGUAGCGGUGAAAUGCGUAGAUAUUAGGAGGAACACCAGUGGCGGAGGCGGCUUACUGGACGGUAACUGACGCUGAGGCUCGAAAGCGUGGGGAGCAAACAGGAUUAGAUACCCUGGUAGUCCACGCCGUAAAC